RNAcentral lists this ribosomal RNA (468 nucleotides) under uncultured bacterium. RNAcentral's name for it is "partial 16S ribosomal RNA". It matches the Rfam family "Bacterial small subunit ribosomal RNA", at positions 28 to 507 of the family's 1533-position model. The record is from RNAcentral.
GACGAACGCUGGCGGCGUGCUUAACACAUGCAAGUCGAACGGAAAGGCCCUGCUUUUGUGGGGUGCUCGAUUGGCGAACGGGUGAGUAACACGUGAGUAACCUGCCCUUGACUUUGGGAUAACUUCAGGAAACUGGGGCUAAUACCGGAUAGGAGCUCCUGCUGCAUGGUGGGGGUUGGAAAGUUUCGGCGGUUGGGGAUGGACUCGCGGCUUAUCAGCUUGUUGGUGGGGUAGUGGCUUACCAAGGCUUUGACGGGUAGCCGGCCUGAGAGGGUGACCGGCCACAAUGGGACUGAGAUACGGCCCAGACUCCUACGGGAGGCAGCAGUGGGGAAUAUUGCACAGUGGGCGGAAGCCUGAUGCAGCAACGCCGCGUGCGGGAUGACGGCCUUCGGGUUGUAAACCGCUUUCGCCUGUGACGAAGCGUGAGUGACGGUAAUGGGUAAAGAAGCACCGGCUAACUACGUG